This 391-nucleotide long non-coding RNA is filed under the name Homo sapiens (human). RNAcentral describes it as "non-protein coding lnc-FTCDNL1-4:9". The record is from RNAcentral. Lineage: Eukaryota; Metazoa; Chordata; Mammalia; Primates; Hominidae.
AGAAGUCUGGGGAAGAGCCGGCGAAGAGCAAAGAGAUAAUACAGUACUCCCAGCUAUAGCAAGCGGCAGUUAUGGAGCAUGCGCAGCAGCAGGGGCGGCCGCAGGUCGCCGUUCAAUAAUACUCAAGGGAUUUGUACAGCCCUGUAGGAGACACCUCCAGAGAAAGUAACAGCUCUCAAUUGAUUAGCUGAGGAGACCGAUUUUGUAAAUCACUACUUUUCUAACAACACUGGCACAGAUGGCCAAGCAUUCUCCCUUUUCUCAGAGCUGGUUUUCCAUCCCGGAAAGAGAAUAAACAGAUGCUUUUACAGCUCGCCUUGGCGGGAAGAUCUGGCACAAAUGAAGUAUCUAUAAGGAGCAGCAGAGUCAAGGUGGUGAUCCUGUGGAUGAA